GAUGAACGCUGGCGGCGUGCCUAAUACAUGCAAGUCGAGCGAACAGACGAGGAGCUUGCUCCUCUGACGUUAGCGGCGGACGGGUGAGUAACACGUGGAUAACCUACCUAUAAGACUGGGAUAACUUCGGGAAACCGGAGCUAAUACCGGAUAAUAUAUUGAACCGCAUGGUUCAAUAGUGAAAGACGGGUUUGCUGUCACUUAUAGAUGGAACCGCGCCGCAUUAGCUAGUUGGUAAGGUAACGGCUUACCAAGGCAACGAUGCGUAGCCGACCUGAGAGGGUGAUCGGCCACACUGGAACUGAGACACGGUCCAGACUCCUACGGGAGGCAGCAGUAGGGAAUCUUCCGCAAUGGGCGAAAGCUUGACGGAGCAACGCCGCGUGAGUGAUGAGGUCUUCGGAUCGUAAAACUCUGUUAUUAGGGAAGAACAAAUGUGUAAGUAACUAUGCACGUCUUGACGGUACCUAAUCAGAAAGCCACGGCUAACUACGUG
This 496-nucleotide ribosomal RNA is filed under the name uncultured bacterium. Its description in RNAcentral is "partial 16S ribosomal RNA". It matches the Rfam family "Bacterial small subunit ribosomal RNA", at positions 28 to 507 of the family's 1533-position model. The record is from RNAcentral.